UACGUAGGAGGCGAGCGUUGUCCGGAAUCACUGGGCGUAAAGCGCGUGUAGGCGGUACGGCAAGUCUGCUGUGAAAUCUCGUGGCUCAACUGCGAGGGGUCAGUGGAAACUGCCGCACUAGAGGACGGUAGAGGGGGGUGGAAUUCCCGGUGUAGUGGUGAAAUGCGUAGAGAUCGGCAGGAACACCCAGGGGGAAACCAGUGGACUGGGCAUGUGCUGACGCUCAGGUGCGAAAGCGUGGGGAGCGAACCGG
RNAcentral lists this ribosomal RNA (253 nucleotides) under uncultured bacterium. RNAcentral describes it as "partial 16S ribosomal RNA". It matches the Rfam family "Bacterial small subunit ribosomal RNA", at positions 524 to 776 of the family's 1533-position model. The record is from RNAcentral.